CCUACGGGUGGCAGCAGUGAGGAAUAUUGGUCAACGGGCGCGAGCCUGAACCAGCCAAGUCGCGUGAGGGAAGACGGUCCUAUGGAUUGUAAACCUCUUUUGUCGGGGAGCAAAAGACGCCACGCGUGGCGUUCCGAGAGUACCCGAAGAAAAAGCAUCGGCUAACUCCGUGCCAGCAGCCGCGGUACUACGGAGGAUGCGUGCGUUAUCCGGAUUUAUUGGGUUGAACGGGUGCGCAGGCGGAAGAUCAAGUCAGCGGGAAAAUUGAGAGGCUCAACCUCUUCGAGCCGUUGAAACUGGUUUUCUUGAGUGAGUGAGAAGUAUGCGGAAUGCGUGGUGUAGCGGUGAAAUGCAUAGAUAUCACGCAGAACUCCGAUUGCGAAGGCAGCAUACCGGCGCUCAACUGACGCUCAUGCACGAAAGUGUGGGUAUCGAACAGGAUUAGAUACCCCAGUAGUC
This 459-nucleotide ribosomal RNA is filed under the name uncultured bacterium. RNAcentral's name for it is "partial 16S ribosomal RNA". It matches the Rfam family "Bacterial small subunit ribosomal RNA", at positions 338 to 795 of the family's 1533-position model. The record is from RNAcentral.